GACGAACGCUGGCGGCGUGCUUAACACAUGCAAGUCGAACGAUGAACCCGGAGCUUGCUCCGGUGGAUUAGUGGCGAACGGGUGAGUAACACGUGAGUAACCUGCCCUUGACUCUGGGAUAACUGCGGGAAACUGUAGCUAAUACCGGAUACGACCCUCGGCGGCAUCGCCAGGGGGUGGAAGGAAUUUCGGUCAAGGAUGGACUCGCGGCCUAUCAGCUAGUUGGUGAGGUAACGGCUCACCAAGGAGACGACGGGUAGCCGGCCUGAGAGGGUGGCCGGCCACACCGGGACUGAGACACGGACAAGACUCGUACGGGAGGCAGCAGUGGGGAAUAUUGCACAAUGGGCGCAAGCCUGAGGCAGCAGCGCCGCGUGAGCGACGACGGCCUUCGGGUUGUAAACCUCUUUUAGUAGGGAAGAAGCGAAAGUGACGGUACCUGCAGAAAAAGCACCGGCUAACUACGUGCCAGCCGCCGCGGUAA
Molecule: ribosomal RNA, 484 nt
Filed under: uncultured bacterium
Lineage: Bacteria
Description: partial 16S ribosomal RNA
Rfam family: Bacterial small subunit ribosomal RNA
Source: RNAcentral